This 36547-nucleotide long non-coding RNA is filed under the name Podarcis lilfordi (Lilford's wall lizard). The record is from RNAcentral. Lineage: Eukaryota; Metazoa; Chordata; Lepidosauria; Squamata; Lacertidae.
AAGUAUUGGAGCCUCAGCUUCAGGAUCUGUCCUUCCAGUGAGCACUCAGGGCUGAUUUCCUUAAGAAUGGAUAGGUCUGAUCUUCUUGCAGACCAUGGGACUCUCAAGAGUCUCCUCCAGCACCAUAAUUCAAAAGCAUCAAUUCUUCGGUGAUCAGCCUUCUUUAUGGUCCAGCUGUAUGGGCUGCAGAGGUGCUAUUUUUCCACCUUGUCUUUCCUACCAAACUUUCUGCCUGCAGGACGGUCUGCUUUUCCCCAUCCUCUGAAGCAGCACCAAGCAGAACUGAAUCCUACCUGGUAGGCAGUAGAAUCCGAUCCUGCAAGAGGCUUCUUCCUCUGCAGGGCAGCAACUGACCCUGACCAGGAUCAAAUCCUCCUGCUUACCAGCUCGUAAGUGAAAUCUUAAGUCGUGUGUGGAGCCAUCUACUGUGCCUACCAUGAAUGGCUUCCUUGCCAGGAAGCCACCCACAGCCAACCAGCACAACCUCAGGAUUGAAUCCGGUCAACGGCAGGAUCCAAUGCUUUGUGGUUCCUGUUGCAGCUCCUUCCCAAAGGGCUACCUUGCAGGGAAGCACCUGCAGAAUUUAACCCACCUGUUCUAAUAUAGAUAGAUCAAUCAAUGCAGAAAUGGGUCUAGUUGAGUUACAUGGAAGCAAAGAGAUUUGCCCAUUGAUAGUACCAUCAUGUCACGGGUGCUCUUGACCCAUCAUGUCAUGGGUGCUCUUGAUAUAAUAAUAAUAAUAAUAAUAAUAAUAAUAAUAAUAAUAAUAAUAAUUUAUACCCUACUCAUCUGACUGGGUUUCCCCAGCCACUCUGGGUGGCUUCCAACAAAACACUAAAAUACAAUAACCUAUUAAACAUUAAAAGCUUCCCUAAACAGGGCUGCCUUCAGAUGUCUUCUAAAAGUUUGGUAGUUAUUUUUCUCUUUGACAUCUGGUGGGAGGGCGUUCAACAGGGCGGGUGCCACUACCGAGAAGGCCCUCUGCCUGGUUCCUGUAACUUGGCUUCUCGCAGGGAGGGAACCGCCAGAAGGCACUAGACCUCAGUGUCCGGGCAGAACGAUGGAGGUGGAGACGCUCCUUCAGGUAUACUGGGCCGAGGCCGUUUAGGGCUUUAAAGGUCAGUACCAACACUUUGAAUUGUGCUCAGAAACGUACUGGGAGCCAGUGUAGGUCUUUCAAGACCGGUGUUAUAUGUAGAAGUUGGGGAGAGCUAUAUUCCAUAUGGCUAUAUAAACUUAAAGAAAUUAUUAUUUGGUUGUGUGGCAUAAGUAAAGCUGGUUUUGAUUUUUUGUGUGUGUGCAUGCUAGCUUAAUACCAGAACCAUUUUGGAUUUGAUAAAUACCCCCAUCGAGGGAAAGGCUUUGCUGGAUAAUUAAAAUUACGUGCCAGAAUCCUUUCUUUUGGCAAGUUCACUAAAAGGUUCAUUUAUUUGAUUUUGUUUUAUUUAUGGCUAAUCUGCAAAUUAUUGAACCUACCAAUACAAUUGCAGGGCUCUCUUUAAUGCUUCCAGGAGUGUAAUGGUCUCUUAGCUGUGGAGGUUCUGGCAAUGGCCUGAAUGGAAAGCCUAAGCCAUAAAGAAUGACGAAUGGAGUCAUUUCUGUGCAAAAUAAACCUGGAAAAGGCCACACCAGUGCAUCACAAUUUAAAUCACAGACGGAGGAACUUUUCCAGGGGGCAGGUUGGAUCCCAGCUCCCUCCAUCCACCAUGCACCAAGAUUUCUGGGAGCUGUAGUGUGCUGAGAGUUAUUGGGAAACCCCUAGUCCCCUCACAGAGCUACCCCCUCCCCUCACAGAGCUACCAUUCUCAGAGUGCCUUAGCAAUCCCUCUUCACAGGGAGCUCUGCAAAUAGUAGUUCCGUGAGGGGAAUAGGGAGGGCUACAGCUCCCAGAAUUCUUUGGGGGAAGCCACAACUGUGGUAUCAUAGUGCACAAAAUGUAUGGUGUGAAUGUGGCCCAAGUUGCAGCAAAACCAGAAGUCAGAGAACGGGGAUUUUAAUAUGUUUCGUCUGUACUAAAGCAAGUUUCUUUCUUGGCUGAGUAACAAGUUGCCUAACAUCUCUGUGCUUCUACUCCAUUUCCCCCCUCCGCAAUGCACAUAGUGUACAGCUGAGGAGUCUUCACUUCCCAGCAAUGAGCACUGGAUCAGGAAACGCAGGGCCUUAGUGAGAAAACAAAUAACGAAACUCGGCUUAACAGGGUUGCUGGCCCACCGUCAGAUCCCCUAUUUUAAAACUUUGCAAGUAUCACAAUUAGGCUUUGCGCCAAGCCCAUUCCCUUGGUGAAUUCAGGCUUCUGCACUACUCAAUAGGAGUCUGUUAAUGACUACAAAGAUCCACAGCUGUUUACAGUUUUAGGCUCAGUGGUGGACCAGGCAAUAAGCUUGUUCCAGCGACGUGAGUGUUGGGCUCUCGCGGCAAGGAGAGGCAUUGUGACAAAUAUUUCUUUACAGACGGGGGGCGAAGGGUGCAACUUGCAGCGAGGAAUUUAUUUAUUUAGAUUGAUGGCCUAUCUUCUCUCGGCAGCUCGGGGUGGUCUCAUGAACAUCUCUGCUGUUGCAUUUCAAAAAUGGAAAGAAAUGGAAGGGAGGGUUCUUCUUUUCCGUGUAUGGUGUAAGCCUAAGAGCCUAACUAUAGGUUGCGUUAAUGAUACGGUGAUCAUACAAGGUGGCUCACCACAUUGAAAACUGACGUUAUGAAAUACAAAGUAUUAAAAAGAAACGAGUUAAAAGCAAUAAUUGAAACAUUUCAGUGCAUAUUUGGGAGGUGGUGGACUCUCUGUCAUUUGAGGUUUUUAAACAGAGGUUGGAUAGCUACCCGUCAGGGAUUCUUUAGCUGUGAAUCCUGCAUUGCAGGCGGCUAGACUAGAUGACUCUGGGGUCCCUUCCAAUGCUACAAUUCUGUGAUUCUAGGACCUGAACACAACAGGAUUCUCCCCUCCUGUAGUUUCCAGCAACUGGCCUUCAGAAGCAUACUGCCUCUGACAGCCAUGGUAGAGUAAACGCAAUAAAUAAUAACAAUAACAAAGCCACCAAGGUUGGUAGCUAUUGCUAGCCUUAAAGGUAAAGGGAACCCUGACCAUUAGGCGCAGUCGUGACUGACUCUGGGGUUGCGGCGCUCAUCUUGCUUUAUUGGCCAAGGGAGCUGGCAUGUGGCCAGCAUGACUAAGCUGCUUCUGGUGAACCAGAGCAGCGCACGGAAACGCCACUUACCUUCCCACCGGAGCAGUACCUAUUUAUCUACUUGCACUUCGACGUGCUUUCGAACUGCUAGGUUGGCAGGAGCAGGGACCGAGCAACGGGAGCUCACCCCGUCAUGGGGAUUCAAACCGCCAACCUUCUGAUCGGCAAGCCCUAGGCUCUGUGGUUUAACUCACAGCGCCACCCACAUCCCUCUUAUCCUCCACUAAUUUGUCUAAUACUCUUUUAAAGUUGCCCAACAUUUAAUACCCAUGAACAUGGGACAUUCAUGCCAAAAAUAAAAGAGAGGCCAUGGCUCUCUUCUGAACACACAUCUCCCUGUCUCAUCACGGCCAAGCUGAGUUUCGGUGUUCCUGUGAGCAAACUGGCUGGCUGCUUCUUUAGCACUCACUUCCUUUUAAACAUUUCUCCAGUGUGAAAUGAAAGGAGAGCUCCCUGUGCAGGGAAAUAAAAAGGGGUCUCCCCCCCUCGGCCCUGCAGCCUCCCCUCCCCUUUCCUUAUGAGUAUGCAAAAAUCCCAAGUGGAUAUCUUUUUUAUGAAUUGGACCCUUCUUUUUAUAGCCCAAACUAUCAUUGCUUAUUACAAUGCCGUCUUAUGGCUUAGGCACUUUUUAUGUCCCUCAGACAUAGCACCCUAGAGGAAGAUGCUUCACUAAGCAAGAACUCCACAAACUUGCUACAGAAUCAGCGGAAUACUUUUCUCAAAAGUGCAUAAACUUCUGUUCUUAAACACUGUCAUCCUUCACCUUAACAAGUAUGGGAAGGGUGGGGAGGGGGAAGGUUCCACUAGUUUCUAUGCCUUGUUAGGUCUAUCAUCUUUUUAAUUAAUAGUGUUUUUACGAAGCCGUCUGAACUGUGUCAUUUCCAUUAUCAGAAAACCACUGCCAUUAAUGAAUAAUUUUCAUUUCUGAUCCUUGAUAUCAUGCUAGUUGAUCUCCUGUUUCCAUGCCGCCAAAUGAUAGCAUCGUUUUCUGCCCACGAUCAAAUUUAAUUUGGACUCUGAUUAUAUUAUGCUGUUGCGACUGAAGUGUCAAUUUUUGUCAGGCAAUUAGGAGCUAUAACCUGUGAAGUUAAGUUUGAUAGGCAUUGUAAUUGGAUUGUUACAGUAAUAGCUUGGAACAUUCCCUUUUUUCUUGCUUCUUUGAUUCUUGGUGCAUACUUCAGUUGCGCGAACAAAGGCAUUUUGUUGUUAUGAAACUAUAGGACAUUCAAGACAACAAAAUGGAGACGGUACGUUUCUGCUCUGCUCACAAAAAUAAAACAGGCUUGGGCUUAGGUCAGACUAGCGUUUGUGGCAGGCUUUCGGAAGGAAGCUCAAAAUGAUCAAUAGGUUGAAGGAACUCCUCUGUGGGGAGUGGUUACUACAUUUGAGACUUUUUAGUUUAGAGGAAAGGUGAGCCAAGGAGGACAUGAUGGAAGUGUUUAAGAUUGUUAACAGUGUGGGAAAAUUGGAUAGGGAAACGGUUUUCUCCCUCUCUCACAAUCCCAGAACUUGGGACCAUUCGACAAAGUGGAACGUUAGAAGAUUAAAGACAGGGAAAAGAAAGAACUUUUCCACACAGAACUUAGUUGGGCUGUGGAAUUUGCUCCCAUAAGAUGUAGUCAUGGCCACCGACUUGAAAGGAGAUUAGACAAAUUAUUGGAGGAUGGUGCUAUCAGUGGCUGCUAGCCACAAUGUCUCUGCUCCUUGUACAAUUUCAGGAGCAAUGUGCCUCAAAAUUAGAGAUGCAAAAUGGGCAUCGUUUUCCAUUCCAUCCCAUAUUCAUUGCACGCAGCACCGUUCCCAUUCUGCUGCAGUUCACCUUCCGCCAAAAACUAUGUUAUUUGUUUUGCUGCCCCCAGUGGCAAAAUUAUGUAAUGCGUAUAAUUAAGUAUGUACAUAAAGACUGGAUCUAGACACAUCAAAGAAGCAAUUCAGCUAAACGUGUUGCAAACUCACACAGGGAAAUCUGGUAGGGAAAGACAGGACUCCACAGCGCCAUCUGGUGUCAUGGUGUUAUAUCGCAUAUACAACGCAUAGGUCUCUGAAUACACAGGAUCAAAGUGCUUCAAGAGUUAUGAGGUACAAAGAUUAUUGCUUCUUCUUUGGAGUGGAAGAAAACAACACACACAACUUAACACACACAGAAAUGUGCCCCCCGAUAUGUGUGUGUAUUAAUAUUAUAUUAUUCUAGGGAUGGGGGGAAAUUCAAUUCUGUUCACAUUUCAAGGUAGAUUUACCUAAUUCACAUUUCCCAAAACAAUAUACAAACCAAAACUCAGCCAUUCUCUGAAAUUCGCACUUCUCUGAAUUUUGCAAUGCAGUUCUCCAGCCAAUGAUAUAUGUGCGCAGAAAUAACAUACGGUGAAAAAUAACAUACAGAAAAGCAUUAUAUUAGAGAAAUUUGCUUUCAGAAAAUGUGCAUAUUAGGAGAUACGUAAAUAUUAGAAAUGCACACACAAAGGUAGAUGGAUUUUCAUGAGGAGUUUAAACUUAAUAUAUUGCAAGCUUCUGUAGAAAUGUGGAAAACUGAAUUUAAGAUUGGGGAGAGGAAUGAGAGUAUUCCUAUAUCAGUAUUCCUAUUUUAGUUAAAAAAAAAACUUGAAAAGAAAACACUGAAAAUUGUGGUGAAAUUAGCCUUGCAUUAACACCCAUCCCUUUUAUAUCCAGUGUGUAGAACUUUGGGGUGUAUGCAAGUCACAGAAAUCUAUUAAUUUCCUAUUGUGUGGAUACUGGUGAAAUAAUUGCUGUAGCCUAGUCCUCAACAGCUCAUUAGUUGUAAUGCACUGUAGCCGUAAUCAGUGAGAAGUAUUUGAAAAAGCAUCUCACACUUGUUAUGAGCACUCUAAUAAAGAGGGAGCAGUCUGUACACCCAUAAAAAAACUUUCAAAUCUGUUAGCAGCACCUGCACUAAGCACCAGAAUUGCCAACACUUUAGAUGCAAAUGGGAGUCAUCAUCUUAGGAGACGGCAGAGUUCAUAGGUUCAACAUUCUCUCACUUUCAGUCUCCCAUGUCAGCGAUAUUUUAACCAGCUGGGGGCAGAAUUACAUUCUGGAAAUUAAAGAAUAUAUAUAUAUGUAUAUAUAUAUAUAUGAUUAAAAUUACAAAUCCACAAGCAGUUCUGCUUCUGAGCUUCUCAAUUUACUACAUUAUAAGACAACAUGAAAAAUCCUAUCAGGGGGAAAAAUGAUGUCUGAUUGCACAUUAUACUUCUUGAAGUAUCAGUGCAUGGGUAGCUUUACACUUACAAGCAAUUUAAAUACUUCAAUAUAUUUAUAUACGGGAGAAGAAGGGUGGGGGGACACCUUUGUCAAGCCAAACCUCUUGAUGAAAUUUGCUCAUUUUUUUUCCAAAAAACUGUGUUGGUAACAUUACAAAUCUUCUUCUUUUUGAACAAUGUAGAUGAGCCAGAAGUUGCACAGCACUUUUUUUAAAAAAAAAAUCAUUCCCAAUUCGGAGAAAACAGAGUGAUCAGUUUAAAUGAUUUGGCAUUUGUGCGCCCUGGCUUCCAUCCCCUAUAAAUAGUUUUGCUUUGGAUUCUAGCAGGGUUGUCAAUCAGCCACUACUAACUCAGUUGGAACUGUGAGCUGCUCCUGUGGGAGCUAUUGGGUCCCAGAGGAUAAGACUAUCAAUGACUCUAUUCUACCCCCACUAUUGGAGGCAGUAUGCUUCUGAAUGCCAGUUCCUGGGAUCACAAGGGGAGAGUGCCCUGUGGAGGCUUCUCAUAAUCCAGCUUGCCACUGUGAGGACAGGGACUCAGCUACACUGGCAAACAAAAAGCGCUUUAUAUGCAUUGUAUAUGCAUCAUAACACUGUGGCACCAGAUGGCGCUGUGGAGUUCUAUUUUUGCCAACCCAAUUUCUCAUAAAAAACGUGUUGUAAAUGAAUCAUGGAUCACUGCCUUGCCAUGGCGAAGGGGCUUGAAUAACUCGGAGAAGCUAUGAGCUAUGCCGUGCAGGGCCACCCAAGAUGGACAGGUCAUAGUGGAGAGUUUUGACCAAACGUGAUCCACCUGGAGCAGGAACCGGCAAGCCACUCCAGUAUCCCUGCCAAGAAAACUCCAUGGACAAAGACAACAACAACUGAAACACUUCUUUGAUGUAUCUAGAUGCAGCCCAGAAUGCUGGACUAGAUGGGCUUUUGGCUCAUCUUAGGUCAAAGGAAGAAUUUCUUCCCGCAAACAGAAACUGAAGAGAGGCAGCAGUAGCAUACUCUCCCACGUGUCACAGCGGGAAACCAGGAUGCCCAUCUUCUGGUGCGCACUCCCACGCAAGUCAUGUGACCCACAUUUUUGGGCACCAUCCUCUCAUGAAAGAGCAACCCCCCCAAAAAAAGGGAAGUUCCAAUUUAGUCGAGACCAUUGAGGGUUGUGCUGUAGAUCCUGAGGGCACCUCUGUUGACACUAUGCAAAUGUGCUGUUGCUGAUUGGCUAACCACUUUUGCAGACAUUAGCAGGUUGCACCUGCACCAAGGGUUGCUAGCCAAUCAGAGACCACGCACACAUGCCCUGUGCUGACAGUCAGACGCUGCCUCUGCUGAUGUUAGUGCUGCGCUGAAAUUUUAUCCUGCCGGUUCUUUCCUGACCGUUCCCCACCAAUUUAUGAUAAAAGAAAUGGCAUUCCAAAACCACAAAGUGGGAGGGGAGACAUUUUGUAUGUGGAGAAAUUUGCAUGUGUGGGAUGUAGGGCUUUUGUUCUGCUUUGGAUAUAGCUCAGUGAAAGAAGUCACCAGAUAACUUUUUCCCUUGGGGUUUUUUCAGCUUUCAAAGGUCAGGGAGCUGCAGAAGACUGUGCUACACCCAUAAAACCACAAGGUUUCACCUUAGUCCCUCUCUAACCUACUGGUUUCUGACUGGGUUCUAUGCCAUCCUGUUAGGUUCUUCCAGGACCUCCUGUGACCUGCCAUGUUCAGUCCUAGGUCCUUCUCCCCAAGUUCCACUUUAUUCCUCACUCAGGUGGAACAGCUCAGUGGUACAACAUAUGCAAAGGAUCCUAGUUGGAUCUGUGGCAUCUCCAGACAGAGAUGGGAAAUGUUAUUGCCUGAAACGCUGCAGAGCCAUUUUCAACCAGCAUGGAAAACACUGAGCUAGGUGGAGUUGUGAUAUGGUGUGCAGCACAUGGCAUGUUGCAAUGUUGCUAAUAUCAAAAGUUGGCAACCCUAAGUAAUAACUAUUUCCCGAGACUCAUUUCAGAUUGUUUAAGAAGCAAUGGAGCAGAGGAGUCAAGAGAGAGAGACACAGAGAGAGAAACUAUGCAACAGAAGAUCUGUUUUUAAAAGCAGGUAGACGUGAAGUCUCUUGAAAAGAUCUUAUUGAAGAAAAUAAAUGUGCUGUUUGCUUAGCUGUAGAUUCAUAGCAGGGAUUAGUUCUUCACACACAGAAGAUCAGUUCCACUUCUGGAUGUGUAAUCUUAUAUAAAAAAACCCCCAACAUCCCUAUUUUUUAAGUACACAGGAAAGAAUUCACAGCAACUCAAAGUACGGUAUAUGUUUGCGAGUUCUUGCUAAAUAACAGCUGUGGAGUAACAUGCAGUCUGUUUUCUGAGAUGUGUUCACCAAACUUCUGAGAGGUUAUUUAUUUACUUAAUAUACUUAUAUGCCAACUUUACUGGGCAAGAAGCCCUUCCAAGCGGCUUACAAGACUUUAGAAUCAGAAACAAUAACGAUUAUUCAAAGUUAAAGCUAAACAAUUUUUUUUAAAAAAGCUAAAAUACAACCUGCUUAAAAAUUCAAUAAAAAGAAAGCAAGUUUUUUUUUUUAAAAAAAAAGUUUAAAACUUAAAAGUUAUUAGUGGGUGAACCGUAUGGACUUACUCCUGAUCCCCAUAGACACACAGGAAGUGGGUGUUGCUAUUGCUCAGGCUUUACUUUGAAGAGGAGGGGGAACCUCAGUCUUGGCACUGAAAGUGACCCUCUAAGCCUUUCUAUCUGAGCCCUGGGAUUCUCCCCAGACCACAACCCCCCUCCAACCACAUCCCCUCAAGGCCCUGUUUCCUAACAUCCUUGAGUUGGGCGGGAGCUUAUUAUUGGCAAUAGUUCCCUUUUAAACUUCUUUUGGGAGGUGGGGAAAAAAAGAGAAAUCACAAAACAACAACAACACAAGAUCAGACAGCAGCCUUAAUUCUACAGCAUACAGUGAUCAUACUAUGAAUCCAGAUAAGGUUUACGGCUCAGUCUAAUAUUGACCAUUCUGUUUACAUCUUACAGGCCAGCCCAUUCAACUCUGAAGAGAGGUUGUAAAUAUUCUCAUGCACGUGGCCGUGAAAUCAUGCCACCUCACAACAUCACAUAAUUCUGAGGGGGCAUUGGGGAGGGUGGUAAAUAAUGGCAGCCAACAGAGGGUGCCAUUUUCCUCUCAGACGACCCAUUGGAACACUACUAGAACAUACAGAGACACAGUGAGCAACCUCCUCUGUGGGUGGGAACUUCAUUUUUAAUGGCACACUAUUGAGGCACAGUUUAGGAAUUACUGGUGGGGGAAGGCUGAGAGAAAUUUAGUUCCAACUGUACAUCCAUGACAUUAACAGCAUAAUCUGGAAGGAUUUUGGAUUCUGAUUAUGUUGCAAUUUGGAUAACCCAGCAUAGACACUGUUUGAAUAAGGUCAUUGAACCCAAGAGGAUGAUAUUCCAAAGGAGGCCCAUGAAAUCAGCUUCCUUGAAACAGUAAAAUCUACUCCAAAAGGUCUGGAUUCUCAAAGGAUCCUGAUAAAAAGUUUUAGAGGCCUAAAAUAUAGAAGGUUUGUGUUUCUUUUUUUAAAAAAUUACUGGUAAUUCCCUGAUGAGCAAACUAGUAAAUAUCAGAGUCUCCCUUGACUAAGCAUUUCUUAUCUGUUCUCUCCAAAUCUGUUUUGUUUGUUUGACCUGAGGAAUUUCCACAAAUGAAUAGGCAAGCAGUUGGGCAACAGUAAUGUAAAUGUUCACAGAUUCUUCUUUUCAUCCCAUGUGAGCUUCGCCCUGACACCUGAUAAGAAUUUUCAGCCUUAUCAAGCAGGCCAGGAGCAGUAAUUAAUAUGCCACACCAAACUAACUCAUCUCCAGCUUUCUUCCCCCUGUUGAAAUGUAAUUGUCACAAUUUACUACCUUUCUUCCCAGCUUUAACUUUCAUCCCAUGUUGGUAUAUCUUUGAAAUCACAAACACCAGGUAGAACACCUGAGCAGUUCUACCUAAAUGAACGCCUGGCCAAAACCCCUCCUUCAGUUUCUCAAAAGUUUUUUCCCCCCCUCUGUUAAAGAGAUUUCCAUUUUUCUGUCUCUUUCUUCGGGCCCUUUAGAAUUUCAGUAGGUGUUGGGUUGGGCUUAUCUUAUUAUUGCAUGUGCGUAGGGUGUGUGCUUGUUUCCAUGGAAUAUUUCUCUGGAACUCUGCAGCCCUCCCACCUGCCAACACUUCCUGACCUGAAAAAAGGUCCAUGGAAAACGUUAUCUGAUGACAUCUUUCCUCAAGCUUUAUUGGAAGCAUGAGGAGCCAGGGAGGCUGGCUAUGGAGCACCUGAGAGAGGUGUGGUCACUAAUUUUGUUUUCCAGCCCACUGGAGAGAUGUGAACGGAAGAAAGGACACCCACAAACAAACUUUGAGCAGCUUGAAAGCAAACAAAAGCCCAGGAUCCCACCCAUGAGAAUGUCUCCAAAUACAUAUUCUCCCCAAUAAUUUCACAGUCAACCCUCUCUUCCCAGGGAACUCUGGGAAUUGCAGUUAUGAGAGGGGACCAGACACCUCCUAACAGGUCUUAUUACCCUUAACAAGCUCACAUUCCAGGAUUCUUUUUGUGGAAGUCAUAACUGUUUAAAGUGCUAUGAUAUUGCUUUAAAGUGCAAAGUGUGGACAGGGUCUCAGUCAGGGCCAGCAGACAAACCAGAAGUCUGUUCACCUUCAAAGGUGGGUUGUAUAGUCUGGUUAUUUUCCCUCAGGGAACUGUAGGGUCAUGGGAUCUUGGGACACAUGGUGAGGUAGCGAAUCAAGCCAUAAGUCAAGAUGAAGAGUAAGUCAGAACUGAAGGGCAAAGCAGAUGGCAGUAUCAAGGAACACGUCAAAGAUUUGUUGUUGUUUAGUCAUUUAGUCAUGUCCGACUCUUCGUGACCCCAUGGACCAGAGCAGGCCAGGCACUCCUGUCUUCCACUGCCUCCCACAGUUUGGUCAAACUCAUGUUAGUAGCUUCAAGAACACUGUCCAACCAUCUUGUCCUCUGUCGUCCCCUUCUACAUGUGCCCUCACUCUUUCCCAACAUAAGGGUCUUUUCCAGGGAGUCUUCUCUUCUCAUGAGGUGGCCAAAGUAUUGGAGCCUCAGCUUCAGGAUCUGUCCUUCCAGUGAGCACUCAGGGCUGAUUUCCUUCAGAAUGGAUAUGGUUGAUCUUCUUGAAGACCAUGGGACUCUCAAGAGUCUCCUCCAGCAACAUAAUUCAAAAGCAUCAAUUCUUCGGUGAUCAGCCUUCUUUAUGGUCCAGCUCUAGGACUAAAGAAUAAGGAGAUACAGGCAGCAACCAUUUUAGGCACAUCCAAAGUGACCCAAAAAAAUCACAAAAAGGGGUGGCAUGGGGCAGGGGUGGGACAGGGAUUUUGCAAUGGGUGUUCGAUUAUAUGCGAUUUCACACAAGUGCUCAAUUAAACAGAACAUGACCCCCAUGCCUAUGGGGAGUUGCCUGUAUAAAGGAAUACACCAGCACUCUAGAAGAUUCUGUUGCUCAAGUAAAGCCCUUUUUGUACUCCUUUCUGCCUAGCAUGACUCAACAGCCAGCCUGGGUAGGCGGAGCCAGUCCAAGACCUGAAGGUAAUUGGUUGAGAAGUGUUGCCACUUGCAGUUCAAUGGGUCACCACACAGGGGAGCUGCACACAGAUCCAGCAGCUCUUGCCAUCAAUACUCAGAGACACAUGUCUGUAUCAGUAAAAUAACACACAAAAUAAUGCAUCGUCAUAGCAAUAACGUAGGAGAAGAGAUUCCUCCCCCAGUGCCACUUCCACAAAUCAAAUCACCUCCCCCUGCCCAGGGCUACUCUUAAACUUAUUUGGGGAAAGACCCUAUCUUGGUCGCCAUCAAAACAUGUACUUUAGCCCUCAGCCUGGAACGCUGCUGUGCAUGGAGAAAACCUGCCCUCUGUCCCCAAUGGCCAAAGUUAAUGGGGUGGUGGACCAGCAUUUGAUCCCUUCUAAACCAUCUCAUGGGACGCGGGUGGCGCUGUGGGUUAAACCACAGAGCCUAGGACUUGCCGAUCAGAAGGUUGGCGGUUUGAAUCCCCGCGACGGGGUGAGCUCCCGUUGCUCGGUCCCUGCUCCUGCCCACCUUGCAGUUCGAAAGCACGUCAAAAUGCAACUAGAUAAAUAGGUACUGCUCCGGCAGGAAGGUAGAUGCUCUGGUUCGCCAGAAGCGGCUUAGUCAUGCUGGCCACAUGACCCAGAAACUGUACACCAGCUCCCUCGGCCAAUAAAGCGAAAUGAGCGCCGCAACCCCAGAGUCGGCCACGACUGGACCUAAUGGUCAGGGGUCCCUUUACCUUUAAACCAUCUCAUAGUGUGUGUGAAACGUGGAAACACACUGUGCGCAUUUAACAGGUUCCCUGCAACAAGGCAUUUUGCGAAUACAAAUUAUGGCUCGAGUGUGCAAAGCAGCUGAUGUUCCUUUGGGUAAAAGCUUGACGGCAGUGUCAUGCUGACUUUUUCUCUUCCCACAACCUUCCCUUGAUGUCUCAACAAAGCGUGGUCAAUGGCAGUGACUGUUGGCUCUUUUGAUUGCUUCCUUCCCGUAGUUUUCAGUGAAAGUAAUUGAAUGAAGGAGGGGGGGGAAACCUUGAUAACACUUCAUAUUCUUUCUAAUUUGUCAUUUCUGGGCACACCAGGGAUAAAGAUGACCUUUUGAAUUUUGACCUAACUUUUUGGUAACGGGCAGCAUCUUCACUCCUGCUUUUCAUUUCCAUGAAUACUGCAUGCCUCUCUCUCUGCCCCAGUAUAAAGCUAUUAAUAUUGUUCUAUUAACCUUUCUUCCAAGUACCACUGACCUUUCCCCUAAAAAGACAAUUACUGUACUUUUAUCCUUAACAAAUCUCAUUUAUUAGAAAGUUUUGCACAGCACUGGCUAAGGCUGCAUCUCUAACUAUCUCAUAUUUCUUUAUGUUCACAUUGCUGUGAUAAAAGAAAGCAAAUCAAUCGGUGCCAGUGCGUGGAUGACAGGGGGAAUCACUGGGCGUUUGGGUCCUAUUUGGGUUCUGUACAAAAAGCUACCCAUCAUAAUGGCAAUGUGCAACAAUUGCCACUUGCUAAUGAUCAAGAACAUAAGGACACAAGAAGAGCCCUGCUGGAUCAGGCCCAUCUAGUCCAGGAUCCUGUUCUCACAGUGGCCAACCAGAUGCCAAUGGGAAGUUUGCAAGCAGGACCUGAGUGCAACUGUACCUUCCCUUCCUGUGGUUUUCAACUGCUGGUAUUCAGAGACAUUGUCAUCGUAGCAAGUAGCUGCUAAUAUUCUUGUCCUCUGUGAAUGUGGAUAGCCUUCAAAUUGGUGGCCAUCACAGCCAAAUGUGGAAGAAAAUUCUGUAGUUUACCUAUGUGCUGUGUGAAGGAUUUUAUUUUGAAUCUUCCAACAUUUCAGCUUCAUUGGAUAUCCACAAGGGCUAGCUAGUGCCAUAAGAGAGGGAGAAAGAAACUUUUCUCUUCUCGCUUUCUCCUUACCCUUCAGAGUCCUCACUGUAGCUCUGAGAAGGGACGUUCCUGACAGAGUGGUACUAUUACUUUCCUUGAUUUGGACAUUAUCUUCUGUUGAUGCAGCCUAGAAUAGCAUUAGCUAUUCUCAGAAGGAACCUAAAGGAAUGAGAAACCUACAGGAACGCCUCUCCAGUUGAUCUCAAAGAAUUAGGGUGUUUCCAGACUGCAAGGUUCAGUUGCAUACCAGCAAAUUCAGGUGGCAAACGUAAGUGUGGACGGGAGGCCUUGCACAACAAACCUGCUUCCCUUGAAGACGGGACUUUUUGCAGUGUGAAAAGUGAUGGGGAAAUAAUGAGAAGUGUGGGUUAACCCUUGCUUGAUGCCACAUUAUCCCAGCUCCCUGCAAACAAAUUAGGAUGAAUAAUCAAUAAACAGGAAGUGCCAUUGGAAGGUUUAUGUGGGAGGAGAUAUUCCAUUAACUAUGAGAUUCUCCUAAUAUCUGAAGCAAACUGUUUGGUUUGUAGAAGGAUGUUGUAAGCCAAACGCCUAAUUGCAGCAAUCUGGCUGCUGGGUCUUCUUUCUUUCACUUCCCCUCUUCUUUUUCUUACCUUGCGAUUAAGAUUUAUUUAGUGGGAAUCCAAGUGGGUGGCAGAUGUGAGGAGGGGAGCUCCCUUGAGCUGCAAGUUGAGGUAAAUAGUGUGUCAUAACCCAUUCAUCAAUUGGUAAUGCAAGAAAAAUAGAAAUAUCUGCACGAGGAAAGGAAUUGGCAAGCAUUUUGCCCAGGGAAUGGCAUGGAUCAUAAGGGAAUCAGGUGGAAUUUUGCCUUUGCAAAGGAAACACUCAUUUAGGUGUCUGUGAUAGGAUAGCUGAUAGGAAUGGAUGGUCGUGUUAUGGAUCAGAGAGGAAGCAGCUUUGGCGUUUUUGAGCAGAACCACCCAAGAACUGUAUGACAGAGACAAGUAUUUCAAUUUAGCAUAUGAAUCUUUUAGGAGAAUGGCUUGAAGAUUAUAACACACCUGGAAGAGGAAUCAAAUAAUUGUCAUGUUUCUCAAAUGGCAGGCCCAACAUCAAUCAUUUCCCCAAGCACUCUGUCUGGACGAUUUUUAUACUGUCUCUUUAUGUCUUUCUGCAGUGCGUGGAUUGUCGAUGAAGAUAAAGAGAGUGAAGCUGGAUGAUACAUCUUAUGAAAAUCCACAGUAAUCACAUGUUCCUUCAGAAUGUGUUGAUAGUGCAACAUAUUCUGGAGGUGAGAUCCUGCGUCACUUAAAGUCAAGAGAUUUUAUCCUGGAGUCUACUUACAAGUGCUUAGUCUAUCACAAUUGGUGGUUGAGGAUGACCAGUUGUGGAGGAAUAUAGCCAAAUACUGCUAUAGCCAAAGGAUCUAUGGCAGAUUUGAGGAACAUUUGGCAAUCCAGAUGUAACUGAACUACAACCCCCAUAAGCUCUAGUAAGCACUGCCAAUGGCCAGGGAUGAUGGGAGUUUUAGUUCAGCAACAUCUGGAGGGUCAAAGGUUACUCACACCUGUUGUAUAAGUACACAUGUUAGGAAGCUGUUUCUUGUGCAAUUCUCAGACACAUCCAAGCCCAGUGUAACCAGUGUGUCGACCAGGUGCCAUAGCAUUACCGCAAAAUGUGUAUUAUUUUACAGAAGGGACAAUGGAAAGAGAAAUAUAUUUUGCAUAUAUUCAAUGACAAAGGUGAGGUUGUGGGGUCAAGCAGAGAGUUGGACUAGAUGACCCUUGUGGAUUCUUCCAACUCUACAAUUCUAUGAGCACAAUGGUGCCCUUAUGACCUUCCUCUGGUGCUUAUGAAGCCUCUGAGACACUCCUCCCACCCUGCCCCCCAUCCUUCCUGCUUGGUCAAGGAUGGGUACCUUUUUUUCCUCCCUUGAAAAGGAGAGCGGAAGGAGGAAGUUAGAAGAGUGACGCUCUUUCCCACUUCCCCUUUCAGCUCUAUGUGCCUUUCCAGAGUCAGAUGAAUUCUACUAGACAUAAGUUUUACGCAGAUCCCUCGGGAAAGCGAGGUGUAUGCAAUUGUGUGCUCUUUCUCUUUCUGCCUCUUGCAAAGUAUGGGGUAGCCUAUCUCAAGGAGGGGGGUGUUGCACACAAUACUCAUUCCAAAAGCUAAAUGGGCCUAAAGAGGUUGGCCACCUUGCCCGUAUGAUGGGAUUAGGUAGUUCUCUCCUUAAUUUGCCAAGCAGAACAGAAGAUGCCACACGCUUGCCACCAGGAGAAGCUACUACGAUAUGGCGUAAAGCUGCACUAUAUGGUAGUAUAUAAGGUGCUUUGACAUGGGAGGAGGAGUCCGGUUCCCUUAUCCCAACGAGCUUACAAGAGCCUAACCCUCUGAUCCUGCUCUUCAGCAUCCUUGCUCACUUAUGCUGAGAGACAAGGGGCCAUAGUUCUGAUGUAAAGUGGAAACACAGGAUUAUGAAGGAUGAUAAGAAAGUGGGUGGGGUUGCCUGAAGACGCAAGUUUCAAAGAGGGAUUGGAAGGAGGAGAGAAGGGUGGUUGAUGGAUGGGAAGGGAAAUGCGGUGUGACUCUUACUGGGCUAGAGGGGGAGGACUUGAGGGUGAGACACUUUCCUCUGUUUCUGAUGUGGGUAUUAGACUAAUGGAAAGACUCUGAUGAAAACUAAAGGCAAACAAAUGGGUUUCUUCUCCUAUUAAAAGCCCUGCCUUGCUUGUUAAGCUUCCUUUGAGUAAACAAAAGUGACAGCUUUUGUUUUCGUAGAAAAUUUGCCGACAGGCGCAAAAGAUGGUAAGGAUCACCUGUAUUUUCUUUUCAUCCCCCCCUCCUCCUCCCAUUUCUCCUCCCAUCCUCUUUGAAAUUUAUUUUCCGGGAGUCUUUUAAAAUUCAGAUCCUAUCGUUGGUAACAAAUGAUGUGAAGUCUUAGGUACAGUACUUGCAGUCUGUGUUUGUUAAAAUGAAGGAAGAGACCCUUCCAACACUUUGGGAUUUUUAUGAAUGAUUUACAUCUGGUGCUAAAGUUCAUAAAUGAAACGUGGGGGAACCAGAUGCUUCAUUUCUUGACUGCAUCGUGUCUGCACAUACUGAUGGUGAAUUGAAAACAGAGAUGUCUCAUAAAUCAACCAAAUCUAUUUUUGUACUCUCAAUUUCCAUUCCGAAGAUCCAUAUAACUCCCAAACAAAUGUAGUAAAAUUGCUUCCUUGAGAAACCCUUUGUGUUUAGUAACAGUGUGGACAUGUUAAUAAAAGAGCAGGGGAGGGGGGCGGAGAGGGGAGCUUGAGCAGAAGCGAGAAAAGCCAACUCGUUCCUUAGAAUAAAAAAAAAAUCAUCUACGCUCAGGAUGAAUGACUGCUCAUGGAGAUCAAUGCAGAAGGUAUGACAUUUAGCAAAACAGAUGGAGGGACUCUGUCGAAAUAUUAGACGACUCUUACCAUUUAUACAAAAGGGCUGCAGUUGGUGAGAACUGAGAGGUUGCCUCCAGACUGCCUGCGUUUUGGGGAAGAGAUUCAGGCAAAGAUCCAAAAUUUAGGUUUGCACAAUAAAAGUACUCUGUCACCCCUGGUGCAGCAAACCAACUUUUCUUAAAAAGCUGCCUUUUCACGGUUAGGAAAGUCAUGUGGAAUUACACUGAAAAAUGUGGGAUGAACUGUUGAUUAAUGGAAAGCUGUAUAACCACUGCACAAGCAAAGCAGGACAAAUUCAGGAUGAAUGCUCGUUGUAAUAUAACCUCCCCACAAGCGAGCAAGAAUGAAUGAAUGCUCAAGAAAGGCUGAACAUCUUCUAAACUCUAUGGUAGGUUUGUACAAGCAAAUCAUGAUUGUUCAAUAAACAGGUUGCCAGCAGAGGAGGACCACCAAGAUAAAGCAUCCGCAAACUAAGUCUUAUGAGUGAUGGUUGAGGGUGUUGGGUAUGUUUUGCCUGGAGAAGAGAAGACUAAGAAGUGAGCCAUCUUCAUAUCUCAAGGGCUGCAAUGUGGAAGAUGGAACAAGCUUGUUUUCUGCUGCUCCAGAGGGCAGGGCCCGAACCAAUGGAUUCAAGUUACAAGAAAGAGAUUUCAGCUAAGAACUUUCUGACAGUUGGAGCUUGCACCACAGGGAGGUCACAUCAGUGCUGCUACCACAGCAUAAACAACAUGGGAGGCAGAGGUUAUGAGUUACUGGUCUCUGCAGCCACAGCAGACGCUGUGAUUCUCCAGUGGUUUGAUUUCACCCUUAGAGGCACACUCCAUUGUCUCUCGAGACAGAUGGCUGCCAAAAACCACCUAUUAGUGCCAGGGCUGUCUUAAGCAUAUGUACCGCAGGGGUGCAAAAAUCCGCCCAGGGCCCCCCCCCUUCUGGAUGGAGCUGCUGCGGCCGGAGCUCGGUUGGAUGCCAGAUGUUGCUAACAGGGAGGGGGUUAAAAAUCAAAUCAAAUGGCCAGGGACUCUGCCGAGCUGAUUUGUCACCUGCGUUGCCCUCCCUGCUCACAUGUUGCCCUCUGUCUCCAGCAAGGUGACUAAAAUUUUGGAGGCAGAGAAAGGGAAGGAGGAAAAUUAAGGCAGGCGGCUGCCGGGCACCCAAGUGGCAAGACUCUGCGGGCAGCUCAUGAAAGCCUGUCCAGGGACCCGGAGCGCCUGCUUGCUUUGGUCCCAUGGUGCUGCAGCACCUUAAGACUUUGACGACUCUACUGUCAGACACUGGGCAGGAGGACGGGCUGUUGGGGUGGAGAGCCGCCCGCAGCAGAAGAGCCUGCUGCGGCGCUCCGACCGAUGGGCGGGCUCUUCCCCGGACUCAACUCUUGGGCCCUGGACUCUCGGCCUGGUGCCCCUGAGAGCCCAGCGCCUGGAUGCCCCACACCCAAGCGCCUAUGCGUAAGACGGCCCUGAUCAGUGCCCAGGAAGGUGGAUGCUGUUUUGCACAAGAUCCGUGUGUGGUGGAACGUUGCCAUUGCUGCCGCUUCCCUGGAUAGGGCAGAGCAGCAGGAAGGUUGAGGACAUGUGGUCGCACUGCCGAAAGUGUUGCCUCAAAUCUGGUGCUCUACUUUGCCACCACCCCUUCUAAGCAACAGCAAUGGCCGUGUCAGGGCACGGCAUCCCAGUAACUCCGCCCCACCAGACAUGCUGUUACUGACCUUGCUCCUCCAGAUGCCAAGAUGCUGUGCCGCAACCUGUGCAGAGAUACUGCGAGGAGUUCCUGAAAUACGCUUUUUCUCGCCUUGGGCAGCAUCUACCCCCAGCUUCCUCUUCAUGCAAAGAGGAACUUCCCGAAAGCGACACUACCAUUCUCUCCUCUCCCUUAGUUACCAUUAUGUUCAAAAUAUGUCCUUUCCGAAUGCAACUCUCUAUAUGUCAUAAAACACAAAGGGAAGUGCUUUUCAUGCCAAAUAUCAGAAAAGUGCUCUCUUUUUCUCAACUGCCCAAGUAACAGAAAUGAUGUGUUCAUUUGAAAUUCCAUUCAUGUAGGCCCUAAUAAAAGCUAUUAUAAAAUACAAUUGUGUGGAGACAAAAAGAGAGAUAAUAUCGCUAUAGCUCAAUAUAAAAUUUAAGUAAUUAAGACAUGAAAACUAUUACACAAUUUACUUUGAAUGUGGCAUGAAUAAUAAAAUGUUUAACCAUUCCUUUCCCAAAUUUUAUGCUUUUUUUUUUAAAAAAAAAAACCACGGUCGAGGUUUUAAAAUGCUUGGCUAAAGAUCCAUUCUCUGCAUUCUUUUGCAAAAUGAGCAGUGUGAGUGAAUUUAGGUGGGCUUUGAAAAGGUGGUCCGUAUCUUGGAAAAGUGCACUGUUGGCUUGCUGAUUUAUCAAGUGUAUUAAUUGCCCUUCCACCUAGAAGGCAACCAAGUUGAUACAUGCAAUUCAUCACAAGCAAAAAUAAAAAGAAAGAAAGCUAAACCAACAAUCAUUCCUUAAACACACAAACAAAAUUAGGCCUCAAUAUACCUGGAUGUUGAUGAUUACAAAGAGGUGGGGAUUGCCAUCUACACCUGACUUCUCUUAUUUAUUUUAUUUUAUUUUAAAUAUGUUUUUAUUUAUUUUAUUCCAAUAUAUAACAAAUACAAAACAGAGAAAAAGAUACAAAAAACAAGAUCCCAGCUUGCAUCCCACUCCCACAUUUCUUCUAAGGAGCCCAGGGUUACAAAUUUUGUUCCUCUCUCCCAUUGUAUCUUCACAACACCCCUGUAAAGUAAAUUGGGAGGAAAAUCUAGGGGAGCACAAUUGCUUCAGCCACUUCUGGGGCACCACAACUAUGACAUCCAACAGAAGGUGAGAGGUGAGGGGUGGAUUUUGACAUUACACAGGGCACCACUGAAAUUUGAGCUGCCAAGGUUCUCCACUGCCUGGGCCAGCUCUAUGUCUAGCCUGCUGUCAGUCAUUUUAUGUUCAAAAAUAACAGGUGCAGCAGCAGGGGAGGCAACUUGAAUAAAAUAUGGAGAGGCAGGUAAGCCCCGCCCUAAUCACAUGACACAGAACACAUAUACAGCAUUUGAAUGGCAAUGCCCAUCAACCUUUGGAGGGCCUGGUCCCCUCAAAUAUUUUAUAGGGGGAGGCAAGGGACCUCGGCCCCUAGGAUUUGGCUCCUGUGUGCAGCAGAAAGGGGGGAGCAGCAUUAUAUGUCGAAAACAUGUAUGCCUGCAGAGAAAUUCAAAAGAGUGGACAUAUUAACCUUGUGGAGAACAGCCAGGUAAGAAUAAUGGAAGAAAUAUAAAAAAGACAUUGUUGUUGUUUCAGAAAGGGGAGGGGGUCACCUGGUGGGCUGGAGCUGCUAUGCUUAGCUUCCCACCAGAUGGGUCACUGUUGCUUAGCAGCAGGUAGAAGGAUGAGGCAACAGAGAGGUCAGCAUGGCUCAAAUACAAGCUGAUGUGUUUGUGCCAUGCUGAACGCCCCUGAUAUUUUGAUGCCUCUAGUAAGCAGCAGUGACUUUGUCGCAAAAGGCCCCAGGCACAAUCCCUGGGGAAGUGGGGACACUUAUGGUCAGGGAGAACUGUCCUCCUGACAGCAGCAUCAUUGCUGCUAAACAAGGCUGGGAGAAGGAGCAGCAAUGUUGGGGCCACACAGUUGCUCAUAUGAAGCAACCACGCGGCUUAGAUAACAUACAAGGAUGUGGGUGGCGCUGUGGUCUAAACCACUGAGCCUCUUGGGCUUGCCAAUCGGAAGGUCAGCGGUUUGAAUCUCCACAAUAGAGUGAGCUCCCAUUACUCUGUUCUGGCUUUUGCCAACCUAGCAGUUCGAAAGCAUGCCAGUGCAAGUAGAUAAGUAGGUAUCGCUGUGGCGGGAAGGUAAACGGUGUUUCUGUGUGCUCUGGUUUCCAUCACGGUGUUCCGUUGUGCUGGAAGCGGUUUAGUCAUGCUGGCCACAUGACCCAGAAAACUGUCUAUGGACAAACGCCGGCUCCCUUGGCCCAAAAAGCGAGAUAAGCGCCACACCCCUUAGUUGCCUUUGACUGGACUUAACCGUCCAGGGGUCCUUUUUUACCUUUUACAUAACAUAUAAAAUAUACAUUAAAAUUGCUCAUAAAAGAACAUAGACUAUUCCUGCCCCCUAAGAUCACCAUUGUAUGUAUGCAUGUAUGAUUUAUUAUAUUAUAUUAUAUUAUAUUAUAUUAUAUUAUAUUAUAUGCAUUAUACAAAAAAAAUCAUGUUAAAAUAUGUGUCAAAUUUACAUGGCUGGGUAGCCUUAAAACAAAAAAAGCUUUUAGCAGAUGUCCAAAACGAUGUAGCUAGGGCAUUUGCCUUACUUAAACAGGCAGCAAGUUCCGAAGUGAAAGUGCUGCCACAGUGAACGAUCGAUUCCUGGAAAGUGCAGAACGAACCUUUUGCCCAUUUUGCAGACUGAAGUGGUCAAGAGGGCAGAGACAAGGUAAAGUGAUCCAUCUUUAUGUACCAAUAGUACCAGCUUGAAUUUAACCUGGUCACAAAUUGACAGCCAUCGCAGAUUUCUGAGCAAAUAGGCAGGCCUGGAUAUCGCUCAAAAUAUAUGAGGCUGCUGCUAAAAGAACCCCAAAACCUACCACCCCAAACCCCAAUCCUUUUUACAUAUUGGAUAAUAGCAAUACUGUGCUUCACUAGGACAUAACUUGGAGCCAAUAAUCCUGUCUCAUCCCUGCGCUGAUUCAAAAGCCAUGUUUUAUACCCAUGCAUGCUACCUCGCCUAUUUUUAAAUAAGGUGCCAUGCUUUUUUUUUGUCUUGUCUGCAGAUCCCUUUGUCUCUGUUUUGGCAGCUUUGGGUGCCUUCCAAUGGAGGACAUUGUCCCCAGGCAAAUUCAGCUGUCGUUCAAAGGCUCAGUAGGUGGCACUCUUUCCUUUGCUGAUGCACUAAAAGGAUGCCCUCAGCACAAAGCAGGCUGAUUUAGUAACCUUGAAGGAAGCUGCACCACAAUCAUUAGCUCAGACAUUGGGGUACCAUAUCUGAUAAUGUGGGACAGUAAUGGAGGACACACCCCCCCCGCACACAUCUAACUCUCUCAUGGACCUCGGUUAGGGUGUGAGAGUGGUCCUCCUGCUGUGGCUUCUACCUGCUACCGAACAUUCCCUUUGCCUGUAAAAGCCACAAACGAUUAUGUGCCUCUCAAGCUAGUCACCGGACAAACCUUCUUCCUUAAUGACAGGAAAAUUAGUUCCUUCGUUCUCAAGGAAAUGUGAAUUGGCUUGCUGGAUUAGAGUACGUUUCCAGUGGUGGUUGGCCAGAUGUUCAAGGCUGGGUCAGGUUUUAGGGAGCCCUGGGCAAGGGGACCUGCACUACCACCUGGUAUGCCACCAUGCUGGGCCUAUCCAAGUCCUUGCCACCUGCUGCCACCCUUUCUGAGAAGCUUACCAGGUGUUGGGCAGGGAUCCCAUUUCUUCUUCUUUUUAUACUUCUACUAGAGUGCUGUAUGCCCUGCAAAGCUGCAGCUGCCCAACAUAUUAUUUCUUCUUUGGCGAUCACUCGUAGCCGAGUAUGAUUGUCUUCCAUAAACACUGUUUUAAGAAUGAGUCCGUAAGUGACUGUGGAAGCCAAUUCUGGAUCCACACAUCCUUCCACAGUGGGGACAUUGGUUUCUGGGUGGGAGUUGACCACGGUGUGGAUUUGCCAACCAUGCCUUCCUCUUGGCACGUUUCUCCCUUGCGUCCUGAGUUCAAGCAUCUUCAAAGCCCAUGACACCUUUUGCUAAAGGCUGUUCUCCAAUUGGAGCGCUCAGAGGCAAGUGUUUCCCAGUAUAAAUGUUUAUACUACAUUUUUUUAGAUUUGCCUUGAGACAGUCUUUAAACCUCUUUUGUUGACCACCAGCAUUACGCUUUCCAUUUUUAGGAAUAGAAUAGUUGCUUUGGAAGACAAUAAUCAGGCAUCCACACAACAUGACCAGUCCAACGAAGUUGAAGACUCAUUAUUUAAGAGACUAAGGAGAGCCUGGCUGGAGCAGACGAGUGGCCCAUCUACUCCAGCAUCUAGUUCUCACAGUGGCUAACCUGAGGCCAGUAGGAAACAAGCAAGCAGGAUCUGAGAAGAAGAGCUCUGCCCUUCUUGUGCUUUCCAGCAAAUGGAAUGCAGAAACAUUGUUGCCCUCCAACCAUGGAAGCAGAGCAGAGCCAUCACUGAUAUCCUCAAUGAAUUUAUCUUAACCCUAUUUUAAAGGCAUCCAAGUAUGAGCGCCUUGCAGGAUGUGGCUUUUAAGAAUCGCAUUGCUUUAUUCCAGGGGUAUCUAGCCUGUGUUGGAGUCCAUAUGUUGCUGGACUCCAACUCUCAUCAGCCCAAGCCAAUAUGGUCCAUUAGUCAGAGAUGGCGGGAGUUCUAGUUCAGUGUUGGUGUUGACCUUUAAAGCCCUAAACGGCCUCGGCCCAGUCUCCACCCCCAUCAUUCUGUUUGGACACUGAGAUCCAGUGCCAAGCGCCUUCUGGCAGUUCCCUCACUGCGAGAAGCAAAGCUACAGGAAAGCAGGCAGAGGGCCUUUUUGGUAGUGGUGCCCGCCCUGUGGAAUGCCCUCCCAUCAGAUGUCAAAGAGAUAAACAACUACCUGACAUUUAGAAGACGACAUCUGAAGGCAGCCCUGUUCAGGGAAGUUUUUAAUGUGUGACAUUUUAAUGUAUUUUUAAUCUUUGUUGGAAGCCACCCAGAGUGGCUGGGGAAGCCCAGCCAGAUGGGCAGGAUAGAAAUAAUAAAUUAUUAUUAUUAUUAUUAGUUCAGGAACAUCCUGAAGGUCACACUUACUUUUUUUCCAACUAAAAAAACCACCCAUCACCAGCAACACCCGCAAGGCUCUGUGCCCAGUGAGACCAAACCAGCCACGUGCUUCUCUAAAUCCACAGACUCCCGGUCUGCUGUAAAAACACAAAACAGCCCACCAAAUCUGAAAACAGAUCUGCCUUGAGAUUCCCCCAUGGUCUGCACCAAGGGGUGUCUUCUGUUUCCACAAAGCGCAAGCCCUCUGUGUAUAGCUGUGUGGCUACAAUCAACACCUUGCUCUGAAGAUGCAGGAUUCAUUCUUCUUGACAAAAGCUGUACAAGUUUAUUCAGCAGCCAUCCAUUGUCUCUGUCUCCAGCAGAGGCAGGUGGAUUUCCUCUCCCCCAAGCUUUUAUCUAGGAAAAAGAAAUAAUAAGAAAAAAAAUUUCAAAGGUGUUUAUAAUGAAUUAAUCACUGCUGUUUUGGAGCACCACGUGCUUGCCAUGUCGCCAUGAGCACUUUGCCUUCAGUGCCUUAUGGCCUCUUCCUCCCCCCGCCCCUUCUCCUUUUAAUCAGGCCCUAUACUGCUGACAAAAUGACACUCUAAUAGGAAAAGACAUCAUUUGGAACAGUUAUUAAUAUAUAAAAGGGAACCAAGUCAGCAAAGGGUUAGUCGUAUAAAUGGCCAAGUUCAACAAGACACAAUUAAGGCUGCAUUAUCACACUCCCUGGAGCAUACAUGUCAAUAGAUAAAGUGGGAUUGUUUGUGGAGUGGGGGGAGGUCAGUUUAGCACUGAAAGCAUCUCCUUCAGUUUAACCAUUGGAAAGAUCAGCGUAAAUGGACCACGUUUAUGUAUUAGCUUGAUUUGCCACCUUCUCGUCUUGUAUAGUAAGGUCCAGUGGUGGUUGGUGCCCGUUGAUGCUGAUAGGGUUGAAGGCAGGGAGGCUGGCAGUAGGUGGCGCCAGAGAGCCAAUGACAGGUGCAGAGCUUGUCAGAACCUAGUUAGAAUGCAGGCAGGUGAGGACAGGCCCAGGGCAGACUGAAGGCUGGUAGGGCAGAGUCUCAAUUGCCUAAAUCGACAAAAGUCCGUGUUCACUAACUGAGUGGGCAUCUCCAAAAUUUCCAAACACUAUCGUUUUUAAAUAAAUGGUGUUGAGAUUUCUCAGUUCUGGAUUCUAGAGACAGCAUCAAAGAUCUUUCUUUAAAGAUUUAGUUAAAUUGAUACAUCUUUGCCUUUAACGAACUGGCUAAAUAUAGCUCUGUUGCUUGCUUAAUAAAACUCAGCCCCGAUUUGCCUUCUAUGAUAAAGAAUUUUAAAAUUAAAACCUACACUGAAGGAGAGAAAUGCUUUGUUGAAAAUUUUAUGAUUGUUGUGUCAAGCUAAUAAAGGCAGGUGGGUUUUUCCCCCCUUAAUCACAUCUCUUUUUUUUUUAAUGGUGGGAAAUACAAAAUUUAAUACCUUUGUGACUAUAAAAUGAGAUGCAAAUAGACGUAUUUCCAGUCGUGUCACUUUUAUUAAACAAGCCACACAUUUAUUAAUAAUCCACUGCUGUCAAGUAUCCUUCAGAAAGGGAAACUGAGCAAUUUGUUGUCAGUUGCAUAGCCUGCUUUAACCGUUGGCAUUACGACAAAAACAUGAAAGCACAAAUGGAAUCAGCUGCAACAAAACGUUGCAGUGUACAGUGCUGCUUUUUCGAGAUUCAGCCAGUGGCCCUCACCCUUUCCCAGAACACACUAUUCUAAAAUGGCACAGCAAAAUAAUACACUCCCCAUUCACUGAGCAACUUGGGGGAAUGGACGUAAGGGAGUAACCUCUGUAGAGAACAGUGAGGUGUACUUCAAAAUAGACAUAUCUAGGAUUGCACUGGUAAUUUCAUAGAUGCAAAUAACAGCUAUUGCCCAAUGCUUAUCCAGGCUUAAAGAAAGCAAACGAAGCUAACAUAUAUGUUCAUCUGAGUCCUCUCAGUAAUGUGCAUAUGAUGUCUCUUUAGUUCGACUGGCAAGGAUUAUGGGUUAACAAAGGUCCUUACAGCUCUUUGGUUCCACCCUUUGGCUUUUGAGCAAAACUUUUAUUCUGAACAAAUAAAAUUGUUGAUUUCCUAUUCAGCCCCAUUUGGGUCCUGUUCUGUCCUUCAACCCAUACUUAGCAUCCUCUUCCCAUUCAAGAAAUAUUAAUGAUCUGGGUCAAGCUGGUUUGAGAAUCAUCUGAUGAUUUUUGUUCAACCCUUCAUUCUCGUUCAGAAAAUAUGUUUAUCACUUGUACUCAAAGUACAGAUCAGUGGCAUACAGAUUUAUUCCAGUCAGUUUAAAAAAUUGUCCUUCUGCCAAAGUUUAAGUGCUGUGCUACUUUUUUUUCUUUUUCAUUAGAAAUUACCAAAUGUUCCAUCUUAAAAUAGACUGACAACAGGUCAGGCUGCUCCUGUUUAACUAUUCUGAACCUAGAAAUGUGGCAAAGUUUCUUCCCAGAUUGAUCUGUUGUGUAGCUACUCCUGGGGGCUGAGUACCUUAUUAACUAGCUAGCACCAAUUAAACCCUGGAAAUGUCAAGAUAUAAGAUGAUUCCCAGAGGGGUAGCUGUGUUUGUUGCAGGAAAAACAGAGAUCUGUGGCAUCUUAAAGUCCAUGUCAUGCGCCUAAUGAAUGGUACUCCACAAAAGUUUUUGCCACAAUGGAGUUGUCAGUGUUUAAGGUUCCACAAGAUUCUUUGCUGUUCUAGAUAAAAUAGCUGCACUGUAGACCCACUUUUGUUGUUUAGUCGUUUUAUUCUCCUUUUAAAGGCGCAAUCCCUGCAAGCUGUUUAUUGAAGUGCAGUUGCUGUAGGACUGAGACCUGAUGGACCUCCUUUUUUGUUUUCAUGAGAACCAGGUGGAAAAGUCAUAUGCUUAGAAUUAAAUAGCAGGUUGCCUCUGAGCCUAGGAAGUGGUUUUCGGUACCAAACUGAGUUCAUAGUCCUUCUACAAAGGAGCUCACUCUUGGUUACUUACUAACAUCUCUGCAUCCUUAACAAAGUGCAGUUCCCAGGAUCCUUUGGGGGGAAAUGCAAAUAGCGCCUCAUUUUGCUGUUGUCCUUGUUAGGCAAUGGCUGAUUCGCUACAAAUCAUCCAGAGUUCUGUCAGUAGCUCCACUUUUGGCUUAAGCCUGUAAGCUGCAUUUGUCUCAGUUUUUGAAAUGAAUAUUACUGUUUUCACAGGGGUGCUUUAGAGAGGCUGUCGAACUCCAAUUCCCAUCAGACACAGGCAGGGAUUAUGAGAAUUAUAGUCUAUGUUAUGUACUGAAGUUCUCACCCUGGGCCAGCAGGGGGAUACUGUAGAUAGUUCAGGUCCACAUAUGCAAAUAAGGGAUCAAAAGUGACGUUCAGUGAUUGGAUAGUUACAGAAAGUUGUUACAGUUAUGUUGUACUGGAGCUCUAUAUAAGCAGGCUGGCUGAACCCUUCAGUUCAGUUCUGUUCUGGCCUCUGAAUAAACAAGAGCUGUUUGAAGAAUCGCUGUGUUAUCUGAUAUGUUCACCCACAACAUAAGUCUAGAAUUACAGACACACUUUCCUUAACAGGGAUGCCAACUUGAAUAAAAUAUUGGGGGGGGGGUGCAGGUAAGCCCAGCCCCACAUAAUUAAUUACAUGAUGUGCCAUACGCACACUAUUUGAAUGGCAGUGCUCAUCAACUUUGGGGUCCCCGGCCCCCUAAAAUAUUUUAUGGGGGGAGGGGUGAAGACCCCUCGGCCCCUAGGAGUUAGCUCCUAUGUUCCUUGGUCAACUAUCCGUUUGGAAAUUUAUAGCCAGGGGCAUUUCUGUGCCCAGAGAAGAAUUUCUCUUUUGGCACCAAACCAAAUACGAGUAUGAGCUUCACCUGUAUGCCCACAAAAUUCUACCUUCCAAAAUUCUACCUCCACUACAUUGCAGGGGGAAGGUUAUUUAAUUCAUUUAUAACGGCUCAGUUUGGUUCGGUUUACUGUGUUCUAACAAACGACCAUUGCACGCACAAAAAAAAUAAUAACAACAAGAAUCCGGCUACUAAUAGUGAUUUUCAUUUCUGCACCCCCUGACCUUUAAAGGAUAAAUCAUUUCCCAUAUCCCCUUUAGGUUUUGUUACACACAUUUGUAGAGCCUUAGUAAGAAAUUUGGAUAUAUACUUCUCUACACCAGAGAACAAGAAAAUCAGGUCUUUGCAAGAGAUGACCUUCCCUUCCGCGAUCAAGGCGUGCAUGUAAUUGUUUCUCAGAUCGUUAUAAUAAGGGCAUUCAAGGAGUACAUGUUUCAUUUAUAACAAUGAUAUCUGAUAUUUCCUCUAAGAAGCUCAAGGAAUUGCACAAUGUCCCCAACUCCCCAUUUUAUCUGUACAACAACCCUGUGAGGAAGGCUGGAGGUAAGACGCUCUGUAGGGAAGGAGGUGGUUUUUCAGAUAUUUGGGGCCUGAGGCAUUUAGUUCUUUAAACACCAAUGCGAUUCUUUGUGUUCUGAGCAGACAAAAUGAGUCAAUGCCAGGUCAGACCAGGUCUUCCAAGCCCAGUAGUCUCUACCCUGACUAUUCACAGUUUCAGGCAGGUAGAGGUAAAAAAUAAUAAUCAGGUAUUGUUUUGGGUGUUCUCUGCGAUCCAGUUCUCUGUCCAUCCAUCCCUAUAUUUCUAAAGCAGAAAUAAAAUAAAAUGCAAGUCAUUUUGAUUUCAUUGCAUUAUUUAAAACAAUUGCUUAAAUCAGUUUAGAAGCAAAAGGCUACCACACUGGGUGUUGUUCUGUGUCCCCCCCCCCCAAUUGCUUGCAACACAUUCUAAACACCACGAGGAAAUUAGAGUAAUUUUGAUAUUAAAAUGAUUACUGCCACUUUUGUAAUAAACUGAUGCAACUUUAGAAGUCUGUCCCUGAUAUCUUUCAUGAUUUAGACAUCACACACGCUAUAAUUGUGCUAUUAAAGGAAAGAGAGCUAAUCUUUUUGCAUUUGAAGUAAGCCCUCAUCAUCAGACCCGACAAAGCCAGACAGAUCAAAAAAGGCGGGUGGAAUGGGGGGGGGGAGAAAGAAAAGAAAAGAAAAGAAAAGAAAAGAAAAAGAGCAUUUAAGGAAAUUAGUACAAGAGUCAGUUAAAAGGUAAAAAUUAAUGCACUUAUUAUUGAAAUACAGUUGAAACCCACUUUUUUCAUUUCUUUGAUAUUACUAAAGCAUAAAACAUUCAAUUAACUUUUCAUUGUGUUUUAGAAGAUGGGGAGGGACAGAGGAUUGUCAGCUGAGAAUGAGGGGAGGGGGGACUGUGCAAAUGAAGGAAAAAAAGUGAAGAUACCAGAAAGAGUCAGACUUAAUCCCUUGUCCGUAAAAGCUGGUCAAUCACUUUUGCAUUUUGCAGAGCUGAUUUUUGGCUUGUCGACUGCAUUCCUUUCAGAUAUAGCAACAAGCUGGUGAAGAGGUUAUCUUGUAUCCCUUCUAUUAUCAGCUACACAUAUUCUUUUUAUUAUAAUUUGAUAAAGAGAGAGAUGGAAGAUCUUCACUCCUUUAACCUAGCCACCGUCUGAUUAAGCAAGAAAAUAUUAAAGGAAAACAAAGCACAGUGAUAAAAUAUGAUGGUAUUUGGUAACAUAAGCAAAACGAGUGCAUUUAAUUUGUACUUACCCUCGAAGCUGAAAGUAUAAAGAAGGGAGGCAUCGGAAAUCAAAUCUUGAAAUAAAAGAAAAUGUGAAAAGAGGUGGUAACCGAAGUAACUCAGUUUAUCUUGCCAACAGUAUUGGGUAGAAGGUCAGGUUUUAUUUUUCCAUUUUUAAAAAGGCUGCAUUUGACUUAAGAUUUAAUAAUACUAAGAUAACGUUGUAGCAUUAGUAUUGGCUUUAAUUAAAGAAGUAUUUUGCUAAUUGGCAUAAAAUAUCUAUGUGAUUAUUUUUCCAUAUAUUUUCGGCUUUGCAAUAAGAGAACAGCUGCUAAAUAUUUUCUUGCAUGCUGAUUCCACUUAAUCAACAUUCUUCUUCUUAAUGAAGGCAACAAAAGUUGGAAAUUGUGUUUUACAAAUGGGUUGCUUGGAAAAUAUCAGCAUGAAGCCAAUGAAAUUCACCUUUGGGUGCUGAUAAUCAGAUUUACCCCCAAAUUACUACUUUUAAGGUAUCAGAUAAAUCUUAAGGGAAGCGGGGGAGGAACUCAGCCUUGAAAUCUUAUAACUGUUUGUGAUUCUCUUCAGCCAACUCAGCACAGUACCACAUCAGCAAAAUAAUUCCCAGUUUUUAAACAUCCCAGUUCAGUGAUUAUUAUUCCUGUAAAAUGCAUCUGAAAGAUGCUGGUGCCAUAUUGACAAGUGCAAAGCUUUGGCAAUACACCAAUGAACUUAUAAAUAUAAAAAGUAGGCUAUUACAAUUCCCCACCCCCAUAUAGCAACUAGAUAACUUCUUUGGAUAGCGUCUGUCAGUUCUAGAGCAGAAAUAGAUGCUUGCGCAAAUUAAAACUUCCCCAAUGAUUGGGAAUUUAAAUCCAACUUUUGAAGUUUCGAGCAUUUUCCAGUUUUGUAUUGGACUUCUGCUUUGAGAAUCCCAAGUUGCUGAAUAAUUUAAAGGCAAUACUGUUAAAUACGGACAUAUCAAAUUUUGCCAUUUUCUAAAAUCCCUGAAUAUGAGAGCAUUUAUGGUAGAAUUGAAUAGUCUGCACCAAAAUUUAUGGACUUGAGAAUUGCUGUUGCGUGUUGAGGUCCCCAGGGCCACCCCAAUAGCUCACACAUCACACAGAAUUUUUUGUUUAAGGUUUUUGGCAUAAUUUUGACCACAACUUUAUUAAAAUACAAAAAUGUGAGUGGUUGCUUAGGCAUUGGUUGCGACUAUCUGCCCCCACCAUGGGGGACAGACUGACAUUCCGCACGAUGUGAAAGUCAGAAAAGGGGAAUACACUUGGGGGUAGCGAUGGAGCAGGGAAGCUGCCCUCAGCCCUCCCCAAAUGCAACCAGGAGCUCAUUGCUAUGGCCCGAGCCCGAGCCCCCUUGACAGGGUGGACAAGCAAUAGUUAGCCCCCGAUUCAUUUAACGGAAUCCCUUGCAGCAGCAGCAUUAGAGGGGCAGGCACAGCCAAUCCAUGCCCCUCAACCAACCAAACCAUAAACCAAUGCCUAACCGCAACCUUACAAGUUGUGACAAUUUGCUACGCAGUAGGCAAAAACCAAAUGGCCCCAGCCAAUCAGCCAAAUGGACAAAAUUCCUACCGGGCCUCUGCCCCAAAGCAGACAACCCCAUGACAGGCAUAGCAAGGUCAAAGCGAACAACCCUAAUUCUAGGGAGGGGGGGACGGGCAAUCCGAAGCACGGGUGAAAAGAGGAAGCCCUAGCCUCGUGCAAGGAGUUUUAGCAUUUCUGGCUGUCAAUCAACAAAUGGCAACAUUAACUUCUUCCCAACAACAAGGGAAGCCCCAAUCGCAUCAGUGGCCAACGGUCAAUUAGCCUGCCCCCAACUUUGGAGUGUCCUGGCGGCCGCCACUGCAACACGUGCUCUCCAUGAAGGAGAACAUGCUUUGUCACAGUAGACUGCAUUGGAUUAGACUGUAUUGGAUUAGAUCUUUACAUCUUUGACAGUCAGUUUGCCACAGGUGAGGCACCAUGUCUCUGAAUGGCAGCUGCUGGGAAUCGCAGGUAUGGAGAGUGCAGUUGUCCUCCACAUGCAGCUGCUGGGUGACCUUGGGCCAGUCACACUUCUUUGAAGUCUCUCAGCCUCACUCACCUCACAGAGUGUUUGUUGUGGGGGAGGAAGGGAAAGGAGAAUGUUAGCCGCUUUGAGACUCCUUAAAGGGAGUGAAAGGCGGGAUAUCAAAUCCAAACUCUUCUUCUUCUUCUUCAUGUUCAGCUUGCAGGCUUUCCACUAGCAUCUGGUGUGAGAACAGGAUGUUGGACUAACUGAGCAAAUGUCCUGAUCCAGUAAGCCAAACUGCAUUUUAAAGGCUUGUUUUCCAUCUGCCAGGUUCAGGCUGGGCCAGAUUUAGGUUUGAUGAGGCCCUAAACUACUGAAGGUAAUGGGGCCCUUUCUAUGUCCAGCUCUCCUUUGUCAACAACAAACUCUCGCUGUUUUUUAUGUUGAAUAUAUGCUAUAUGAUCAUUUAUGAACCUAAUAGGUAUCUAAAGCCAUUUGCACAUAACAAAAUAUGUAUUUUAUCAAAGUAAUUGUUGAACUGAAAUACAAUUAAGAAGUAUAUUAAUAGUGAAAUAAUUAUUAAGCUCUAAUUGCAUGUAGGUUUUAUUUUAUUAGUUUUUUUAUCUUAUAUUUUCGAAAUGUACAUUCAAGUUUUUUUCCCCUUAAAUUUUUUUUGGUGCCCCCAAGAGAGUGGGGCUCUAAGCUAUAGCUUGCUUAGCUUAUAGGUAAAUCCUGCACUGGGUUCAGACUGGCUCAAUCUACAGUAGCUGAAUGGAGUUUGGAGUUAGGUGUACACCACAUACUCACAUACUGCCCCAGAAAAAAAGGGACACCCCACUUAUUUUUUUCUCAAGAGGAGAGAGGCCAAAAUGGUCGCUGCAAUCUCAGGUGAUUUCAGGCUGCAUGCUUUUCAGAUGUCGUGCCCCAGAACAUGUUUUCGGCUGCUGUGCCUGAAAAAAAAUGCUUUUUUGGGGGGCCGUGAUCUUGUGCAUGUCAUGUGACUCACAUAGGAGCGCAAACCCGGAAGAUGGUGCCCCAGAUUUGGGUUACGUCAUUUUGGAAGGUAUGACACCAAUCAAACUUGAGUCAGCAUAAAUUCGUCUGGUGUCCUAUACUUAGGAUUGUUCUCUUAGUAUUUCCGAAAUUAAAAAGGAUCCCCCAUCAUUCUUACGAGAAAACUACUGAAAGCAAAGCUAGUUUCAGGUCUGGGAGGAUUACAGAGUAAUAUUUCCCACCCUGCCACCAGUUUCUUGUCCCAGUCUCGUCAGCCCUGUGAUCACGUUAGAGAUCUUUUCAUUUAGGAGGCUCUGCUAAGUUUGUCAGAAACCCUGUACAGAGUUUAGAGCUGCCUAUAUUACAGAUUCUCUGUUGAACCAGGCCCUUGCCAUUUCUAUUUUGCAGAGUGAGAAUAAUUUCUGAAAGGAUUUCUGAAGGAAGCAAAGACCUAUUUGUUUCCAACUCCAGAUUUUUGACAGGCCGGUAAUGGAGGCAGUAGUAAGUGAGAACCUGUUGUUUGGCUUCUGCUACAUCAUAGCAUCCAAGGUAAUCUGGAGCUGAAUCUCUGUCUUGGUGAGAGCCCUGGUGGAGAGAACCACACUGCAAAUGUUAACCCACAUGGAUGCCUAAGAAUUUCAGCUGUGGCCCCGAACAAGCAGCAACCUGAAGCCACAUCUUCAGCAACUGCUGUCAUCAGAGGCCAAGCUGAUCAUAAGCAUGAACACAUUUGCUGCAUGCCUUCCUCCUUAUCAACAAAGCCAUCACUUCAAUGGCUUCCUUUCUUCCCACUCUGUACCUUAAGAGUUGACAGAGCAAGCUGCGCCUCACUGCUACAGGAAGUUGCUUCGAAAUCAAUCUGUGUGUAUUUGGAAAUACAAAAAUAGCAACCCAUCGCUAGUGUCUCAGGCACACAGUCCAUUUGCCUGACAAAGUGGCAGAUAAUCUUACGUUUAAAUCUGGCUCUUAAAAGCUGGUGGAUGAUAGCUGAGAAUGGAUUACUAUUAGCACUAAACUUUAUUUUAUUUUUUUUAGCUGGGGAUCGUUUCUCUCCCCACAAGUGGUGAAGCCAGAUGUCCAAAAUGGUGGUGGGAGCUGAACAGUUACUCAUGAAGAAGGGAAAUGUGAAGGGGUGGGAUUCAGAAAUUUGGCCAAAGUCAGCGCAUAGUUCUAGUAACAAUGAAGAAGAAGAAGAAGAAGAAGAAGAAGAAGAAGAAGAAGAAGAAGAGGAGGAGGAGGAGGAGUUUGGAUUUGAUAUAAUAAAUUAUAAUAAUAAAUUUUUAUUUAUAUCCCGCCCUUCCCAGCCAAAGCCGGGCUCAGGGCGGCUAACAACAAUAAAAUAAUACAACAUUCUAAAAUCAUUUCAUUAUAAAAUUAAUUCAAAUCAAAUUGAUGGCAACCAUUGGUUCUGUGAAGAUUGCCAAAGGAGGGAGUUAGGCUGUGCCCUGGCCAAAGGCUUGGUGGAACAGCUCUGUCUUGCAGGCCCUGCGGAAAGAUGUCAAGUCCCGCAGGGCCCUAGUCUCUUGUGGCAGAGCGUUCAAUAAUAAUAUAUAUAUAUAUAUUGGGACUCCUUAAGGAGUCUCAAAGCGGCUAACAAUCUCCUUUCCCUUCCUCCCCCACAACAAACAUUCUAUGAGGUGAGUGGGGCUGAGAGACUUCAGAGAAGUGUGACUGGCCCAAGGAGCUGCAUGUGGAGGAGCGGGGAAGCGAACCCGGUUCACCAGAUUAUGAACAAGCCCACCACUCUUAACCACGCUGGCUCUCUAGAAUCAUAAUACAGUGAACCACAAAAAGAAACCGCUUUGGCCUCUGCAUAAUGAGGUACACAAGCCCUUCUUUGUGGCUAUGUCUGUCUCUGCCUUCUGUCACCUGGUGUAGGCAGCAAUCCUAACCCCACUUCCUUCAAAGCAAGGCCUACUAGAUUCAGUUGGACUUACUUCCGAAUUUACAGGCUGGAAUGUGUGCAGAGGAGGGUGACCAAGAUGAAAACCAAGUCUUAUGAGGAACAGUUGAGAGAGUUGGGUAUGUUGAGCCUGGUUAGGAAGAGACUGAGAGGAGAUGUGAUAACCAUCUUAAAAUAUCCAAAGGGCUGUCACAAAGAGGAUGGAGCAAGUUUGUUUUCUCCUGCUCUGUAGGGUAGGAUCCGAACCAACAAAGGAGAUUCCAACUAAACAUCAGGAAGAACUUUCUGAUGGUAAAAGCUGUUUGACAGCGGAAUGGGCUCCCUCAGAAGGUGGCACACUCUCCUUCCUUGGAGGUUUAUAAGCAGAGGUUGGAUGGCCAUAUGUCAUGGAUGCUUCAGUUGAGAUUCCUGCAUCGCAAGGGGUUGGACUAGAUGAUCCUGGGAGUCCCUUCCAACAUUACAAUUCUCUGAUUCUAUUAUUCUAUAUCUAUAGCUGAACCUGGAUAAGGCACUUCACCUGGCGUGGCCCAGGCUUCAUUGGGAGAGCCACUUAUCUAUGUGUAGAGCCAAUUCCGGAACAAUCUGUGUUAGUGUUUUAGUUUUAGGGCUUUGGGGAUGAGGUGGUGCCUCAAUGGCUUAAACUUACGCUGAUUUUGUCAGGUUUGAAGAGAUAUUUCUAAAGUUCUUCACAGCUUCUGAGUGAAAGCUCAGAGUAAAGCUCUCUGUAUAGAAGCUGGUUCAAUUUAUCUUAGCAAGGCUUGUUCUUCUUCUAUGGGCUUAGCCGUUCUAGCUGUAUAGUUGCUUACAACCAAUUUACCUGGGACAGGAUCUGGACUGAAGGAGUUGUAAUUUCCUAGAUCUCCCACCCUGUUGUCAUGGUUCCCUUUUUGUGUUACCCUCCGAUCUUCUGGAGAUCUAUGGUGAUGUAGACCUUAAUGUGAUGCUGUUCGCUGUGCCUACAAAAGAAGGCAUCACCGUACUGAAUAGGAGUUUAUAGUAGUAAAAUCUCCUCUGGAUGUCAAAGGUUUGUCUCAUGAAUAUGGAUGACAAUUUGCUAUGAAUAUGGAAGAGGCUAGGAAGGGAUGAUGGGCUGGGGGAGUCUAACAUUAACUGCUCUUAACCUUCCCACUUCUUUGAUCUUACCACAAUAUGAUCCAUGGGACAUAUAGAACUGACUGCAUUUUUAAAAUAAAAAAGUAAAACUCCUUUUUUUUUGCACAAAUCUGUUAGUCAUUCCUGGCUUCGGAUGUUUGCCCUGCAGCCUUGUUUACUACCUAUAUAAUUAUUAGAAGACUCUUAUAAUUGUAAUUGAAAUUCUGAGUUGACACUUAUGUCAUGGUGCUGUGGCAAAGCAUUGUGUUUAAUUUCUCCUUUGUUCAUCUCAUUUAAUGUUCUGAAGAAUCAAAGGAAGAUCCCACUCAUUUCUCUUCCUUGCCAUUACAAGCUUUGAGCUCCACCCAUACCUGCUGGAACCACUAAUUUAAUUCUUUUUAAAAUAUAGAGCUUCAUAUGGAUUGGCAUGUUCCACAGGUAGAGUGGGUAAACAACUCAUUCUGAACAUUGCCUCUUUAAGACAGCAUAAUUUUGAGUAACUUCCAUAUCAUCUAAGGGGAGAGCCUAUAAUAAAUCUAUGUAACUUCUGGAUUCACUAGAUUCAAAUCUGUACGAACCAGGGAUUUGGUCCAAAUUUUAAAGUGAAGAGACCCAAUUCAUAGCUUGACUAAUAACCUGGACCAAAGUUGUCUGUAAAGGCAUGCAUGUUGUUGUUGUUGUUUAGUUGUUUAGUCGUGUCCGACUCUUCGUGACCCCAUGGACCAGAGCACGCCAGGCACUUCUGUCUUCCACUGCCUCCCACAGUUUGGUCAAACUCAUGCUGGUAGCUUCGAGAACACUGUCCAACCAUCUCAUCCUCUGUCGUCCCCUUCUCCUUGUGCUCUCCAUCUUUCUCAACAUCAGGGUCUUUUCCAGGGAGUCUUCUCUUCUCAUGAGGUGGCCAAAGUAUUGGAGCCUCAGCUUCACGAUCUGUCCUUCCAGUGAGCACUCAGGGCUGAUUUCCUUCAGAAUGGAUAGGUUUGAUCUUCUUGCAGUCCAUGGGACUCUCAAGAGUCUCCUCCAGCACCAUAAUUCAAAAGCAUCAAUUCUUCGGUGAUCAGCCUUCUUUAUGGUCCAGCUUUCACUUCCAUACAUCACUACUGGGAAAACC